GAACGUCGUGAGACAGUUCGGUCUCUAUCCGCCGCGCGCGUUGAAACUUAAGGAAGGCUGUCCCUAGUACGAGAGGACCGGGACGGACGUACCUCUGGUGUGCCAGUUGUUCCGCCAGGAGCAGGGCUGGUUGGCUACGUACGGAAGGGAUAACCGCUGAAAGCAUCUAAGCGGGAAGCCUGUUUCGAGAUGAGGUUUCUGU
This 202-nucleotide ribosomal RNA is filed under the name Thalassiosira gravida. RNAcentral's name for it is "partial Bacterial large subunit ribosomal RNA". It matches the Rfam family "Bacterial large subunit ribosomal RNA", at positions 2614 to 2816 of the family's 2925-position model. Lineage: Eukaryota; Bacillariophyta; Thalassiosirophyceae; Thalassiosirales; Thalassiosiraceae. The record is from RNAcentral.